This 93-nucleotide transfer RNA is filed under the name Legionellales bacterium. Its description in RNAcentral is "tRNA-Ser". It matches the Rfam family "tRNA". Rfam says of the family: Transfer RNA (tRNA) molecules are approximately 80 nucleotides in length. Their secondary structure includes four short double-helical elements and three loops (D, anti-codon, and T loops). Lineage: Bacteria; Pseudomonadati; Pseudomonadota; Gammaproteobacteria; Legionellales. The record is from RNAcentral.
GGAGAGGUGCCCGAGAGGCCGAAGGGACUCCCCUGCUAAGGGAGCAUGGGUCUCAACCACCCAUCGAGGGUUCGAAUCCCUCCCUCUCCGCCA